AUUGGCGACAACAACAAAUUCCAAAACUACGACGACGACUGAAUCACCAUUGACUUCGACAUUGAAUAAAAAUUCAUCAUCACCAUUAUUAUUGACAACAACUAGUAGCGGCAAUAUUGGCAGCAGCAACAGCAACAGUAGCGGUUUCAACACGGCGCCUAUCAAUAAUAAUCAUAAUAAUAAUGGAACGACGAUAUCGUCUAAUAAAUUUCAAAAAAAUUCAACAACAAUUUUUACUACUUCUACUACUUUGAAUAUCAAUAGUGGUGGUAGUAGUAGUAAUAAUAAUAAUCUAAAUCUAAAUCAUCAUUAUCAUCAACCUGAUAGUCAAUUUACUGAUUUAUUUGGUACACCAUUAAUACAGACAGGUUCAGGUUCAUCAUCUGUAUCUGCAUC
Dermatophagoides farinae (American house dust mite) is the source of this 396-nucleotide non-coding RNA. The record is from RefSeq and is a predicted model, not a curated record. NCBI's taxonomy places the organism in Eukaryota, Metazoa, Arthropoda, Arachnida, Sarcoptiformes, Pyroglyphidae.